GGCAAUACAGAGAUGAUCAGCAGUUCCCCUGCAUAAGGAUGAACCGUUUUACAAAGAGAUUUCUUCGGGAAUCUCUUUGCCUUUUGGCUUAGAUCAAGUGUAGUAUCUGUC
This 111-nucleotide unclassified non-coding RNA is filed under the name Saccharomyces cerevisiae (brewer's yeast). RNAcentral's name for it is "RNA (111-MER) from Saccharomyces cerevisiae (PDB 2LKR, chain A)". The stretch from base 71 to 111 matches the Rfam family "U2 spliceosomal RNA", at positions 1 to 44 of the family's 192-position model. The record is from RNAcentral. Lineage: Eukaryota; Fungi; Ascomycota; Saccharomycetes; Saccharomycetales; Saccharomycetaceae.